UUUUGAUGGCCAACUACUGCAACCUCAAUUGACUAGAUCUGUGGCAAUCAUAAUUGAACAUUAAGAUGCUGGAAAAAAGAUGUGCGAUAUGCAUAGUCUGGUGAUUUUUGAUAUGUAGAUGUGGCCUGAGUUCCCAAUCUGUGACUGACACAUACACCAGACUCAGGAGAAAAGUUUUUCUGAUACAUGGUUGUGGCUGUGGCAAGGAUCAAUAACAGAGGGAGGAAAAGGAAGGAUACAAUGG
Molecule: long non-coding RNA, 244 nt
Filed under: Homo sapiens (human)
Lineage: Eukaryota; Metazoa; Chordata; Mammalia; Primates; Hominidae
Description: HSALNT0129591
Source: RNAcentral